This 319-nucleotide ribosomal RNA is filed under the name uncultured eukaryote. RNAcentral describes it as "partial 18S ribosomal RNA". It matches the Rfam family "Eukaryotic small subunit ribosomal RNA", at positions 1470 to 1796 of the family's 1831-position model. The record is from RNAcentral.
CCCUUAGAUGUUCUGGGCAGCACGCGCGCUACAAUGGUCUUCGCAAACGGAUGCAUUCUCGAAGGAGAAUGCCAAUCUUGGAAUCUAUGCCGUGGUCGGGACAGUUGCUUGCAAUUUUUCGACUCGAACCAGGAAUUCCUUGUAAUCGUGAUUCAUCACAUCACGAUGAAUACGUCCCUGCCCUUUGUACACACCGCCCGUCGCUCCUACCGAUCGAAGAGUUAGGUGAAUUGUUUUGAUCGAUAAGAUUUGACUAUGGUCAACUCUCGUUGUGAAAUUCUGUGAAUCUGACUGUUUAGAGGAAGGAAAAGUCGUAACA